UGGGCUGUAGCUCAGUGGUAGAGCGCCUGCCUCUCAUAUGUGAGGCCCUGGGUUCGAUCCUCAGCACCACAU
Molecule: non-coding RNA, 72 nt
Organism: Ictidomys tridecemlineatus (thirteen-lined ground squirrel)
Lineage: Eukaryota; Metazoa; Chordata; Mammalia; Rodentia; Sciuridae
Source: Rfam